This 456-nucleotide ribosomal RNA is filed under the name uncultured Erysipelothrix sp. RNAcentral's name for it is "bacterial SSU rRNA". It matches the Rfam family "Bacterial small subunit ribosomal RNA", at positions 920 to 1382 of the family's 1533-position model. The record is from RNAcentral. Lineage: Bacteria; Bacillati; Bacillota; Erysipelotrichia; Erysipelotrichales; Erysipelotrichaceae.
CCCGCGACAAGCGGUGGAGUAUGUGGUUUAAUUCGAAGCAACGCGAAGAACCUUACCAGGUCUUGACAUGGUGUUUAAGGCCCUAGAGAUAGGGAGAUAAUAAGCACACACAGGUGGUGCAUGGUUGUCGUCAGCUCGUGUCGUGAGAUGUUGGGUUAAGUCCCGCAACGAGCGCAACCCUUGUCUUUAGUUACCAUCAUUCAGUUGGGGACUCUAGAGAGACUGCCGGUGAUAAACCGGAGGAAGGUGGGGAUGACGUCAAAUCAUCAUGCCCCUUAUGACCUGGGCUACACACGUACUACAAUGGCGCAUACAACGAGCUGCGAGAUGGUGACAUCAAGCGAAUCUCUUAAAAUGCGUCUCAGUUCAGAUUGGAGUCUGCAACUCGACUCCAUGAAGUCGGAAUCGCUAGUAAUCGCGGAUCAGCAUGCCGCGGUGAAUACGUUCUCGGGGUUU